This 444-nucleotide ribosomal RNA is filed under the name uncultured bacterium. Its description in RNAcentral is "bacterial SSU rRNA". It matches the Rfam family "Bacterial small subunit ribosomal RNA", at positions 355 to 822 of the family's 1533-position model. The record is from RNAcentral.
UCGGGAAUUUUGGGCAAUGGGGGAAACCCUGACCCAGCAACGCCGCGUGAAGGAUGAAGUAUUUCGGUAUGUAAACUUCGAAAGAAUAGGAAGAAUAAAUGACGGUACUAUUUAUAAGGUCCGGCUAACUACGUGCCAGCAGCCGCGGUAAUACGUAGGGACCAAGCGUUGUUCGGAUUUACUGGGCGUAAAGGGCGCGUAGGCGGCAUGACAAGUCACUUGUGAAAUCUCUGGGCUUAACCCAGAACGGCCAAGUGAUACUGUCGCGCUAGAGUGCAGAAGGGGCAAUCGGAAUUCUUGGUGUAGCGGUGAAAUGCGUAGAUAUCAAGAGGAACACCUGAGGUGAAGACGGGUUGCUGGGCUGACACUGACGCUGAGGCGCGAAAGCCAGGGGAGCAAACGGGAUUAGAUACCCGCGUAGUCCCUGAGCGGGCUGGCAAGGCG